Molecule: long non-coding RNA, 225 nt
Filed under: Medicago truncatula (barrel medic)
Lineage: Eukaryota; Viridiplantae; Streptophyta; Magnoliopsida; Fabales; Fabaceae
Description: long non-coding RNA (MTRU_LNC002700)
Source: RNAcentral
AGCAAAAUGAAAAGAAAUGUUUGAUAUAGGAUGCUGCACAUUCUUAGCCAAUGUAGGAGACACUUGUGCUGGCUGAGUAUCUAACUCCUGAGUUUCGUCUGCUGUAUCAGAAGGAGCAACCAUUAGUAACAUCCGGCAGGGAUAGAUGUAGCUGAGGCUUCGGCAUGAUUUGUUGGAGGACCACUUGUAACAAUGUGCUCGUCUGUAAGAAUCUGAUCAUCAUGA